RNAcentral lists this ribosomal RNA (806 nucleotides) under Labrys chinensis. Its description in RNAcentral is "partial 28S large subunit ribosomal RNA". It matches the Rfam family "Eukaryotic large subunit ribosomal RNA", at positions 358 to 961 of the family's 3401-position model. Lineage: Eukaryota; Metazoa; Nematoda; Chromadorea; Rhabditida; Tylenchidae. The record is from RNAcentral.
GGAAAGUUGCAAAGCACUUUGAAGAGAGAGUUAAAGAGGACGUGAAACCGGUGAGGUAGAAGCGGAUAGAGCCAACGCAUCUAUUGGCCCGCAUUCAGCCGUCGGCAUGGUGGUCGAGCCGUGAGCUACCGGACCCGCUUCUGGCCGGCUCGCUGCUGGUAGCCGUCACUGCCUGUCGUCGGUGCAUUUGCGGGUGUAGUGCGCUGAGUUGUGUGCCACAGCGGUCCGAGGCGCUCGCCAGAGGACUCCCCCUCGUGGGGAGCAACCCGGCAGCGUGGACGACUGUUUGGGUUGCAGCCACAAGAAUGGCGGGGUGGCCUUCAGCGGCCUUCGCCCAGGCAUCGCUCCAGCCCACUGGUGCCGGUCACAUGUGACACGGGCCGGUGGGCGGGUGCCGGUGGUUGGCGGGUCCCGCCCCGCCCGCAUAGUCUCGGCGUAAAAGUUGGUCAUCUCUCCGACCCGUCUUGAAACACGGACCAAGGAGUUUAGCCUAUGCGCGAGUCACUGGGUGGAAAACCCACGGGCGCAAUGAAAGUGAGAGGCCGGUGGCUCGCUGCCGGCGGAUAUGCGAUCCAGUGGCCCGCUUGCGGGCGGCUGGCGCAGCAUAGCCCCGUCCCGAUCGCUUGCGAUGGGGCGGCGGAAGAGCGCAUGGGCUGAGACCCGAAAGAUGGUGAACUAUGCCUGAGCAGGACGAAGCCAGAGGAAACUCUGGUGGAAGUCCGAAGCGGUUCUGACGUGCAAAUCGAUCGUCUGACUUGGGUAUAGGGGCGAAAGACUAAUCGAACCAUCUAGUAGCUGGUUCCCUC